This 242-nucleotide ribosomal RNA is filed under the name uncultured bacterium. Its description in RNAcentral is "partial 16S ribosomal RNA". It matches the Rfam family "Bacterial small subunit ribosomal RNA", at positions 535 to 776 of the family's 1533-position model. The record is from RNAcentral.
CAAACGUUGCUCGGAAUCAUUGGGCGUAAAGCGCACGUAGGCGGUCUUGUAAGUCAGGAGUGAAAGCCCUCGGCUUAACCGGGGAAGUGCUUUUGAAACUGCAAGACUUGAAUACUGGAGAGGAUCGCGGAAUUCCCGGUGUAGCGGUGAAAUGCGUAGAUAUCUGGAGGAACACCGGUGGCGAAGGCGGCGUUCUGGACUGCAACUGACACUGAGGAACGAAAGCCAGGGGAGCAAACGGG